CGCUGGCGGCAGGCCUAACAAUGCAAGUCGAACGGUAACAGGAUGUGCUUGCACAUCGCUGACGAGUGGCGGACGGGUGAGUAAUGCUUGGGAACUUACCUUUGCGAGGGGGAUAACAGUUGGAAACGACUGCUAAUACCGCAUAAUGUCUUCGGACCAAACGGGGCUCCGGCUCCGGCGCAAAGAGAGGCCCAAGUGAGAUUAGCUAGUUGGUAAGGUAACGGCUUACCAAGGCGACGAUCUCUAGCUGUUCUGAGAGGAAGAUCAGCCACACUGGGACUGAGACACGGCCCAGACUCCUACGGGAGGCAGCAGUGGGGAAUAUUGCACAAUGGGGGAAACCCUGAUGCAGCCAUGCCGCGUGUGUGAAGAAGGCCUUCGGGUUGUAAAGCACUUUCAGUUGUGAGGAAAAGUUAGUAGUUAAUACCUGCUAGCCGUGACGUUAACAACAGAAGAAGCACCGGCUAACUCCGUGCCAGCAGCCGCGGUAAUACGGAGGGUGCGAGCGUUAAUCGGAAUUACUGGGCGUAAAGCGCACGCAGGCGGUUUGUUAAGCUAGAUGUGAAAGCCCCGGGCUCAACCUGGGAUGGUCAUUUA
Molecule: ribosomal RNA, 597 nt
Filed under: uncultured bacterium
Lineage: Bacteria
Description: bacterial SSU rRNA
Rfam family: Bacterial small subunit ribosomal RNA
Source: RNAcentral